UUGGAUGGUAGUGUAUUGGACUACCAUGGCGAUUACGGGUAACGGAGAAUUAGUGUUCGAUUCCGGAGAGGGAGCCUGAGAAACGGCYACCACAUCUAAGGAAGGCAGCAGGAGCGUAAAUUACCCAAUGUCGACUCGAUGAGCGUAGUGACAAUACAUAACAAAGAGGGGAUUUUUUAUCUUACUCUAUUGCAAUGAGGCAUGUUUAAUAACCUGUUCGAGCAACCAGUGAAGGGCAAGUCUGGUGCCAGCAGCCGCGGUAAUUCCAGCUUCACGAGUGUAUAUUUAAGUUGUUGCAGUUAAAAAGCUCGUAGUUGAACUUCUGUUUGUUCAGGAGGCGUGCAAGCGCAAUCUGGGCGAACAUCCGCCUGAAAAAUCAUUCGGGUCUUCACUGAUUCAGUGAUGGAUCAGGCAUUUUACUUUGAAAAAAUUAGAGUGUUCAAAGCAGGCUUUCGCCUGAAUACAUUAGCAUGGAAUAAUAGAAUAGGACGCUGUUCAAUUUGUUGGUUAUUGAAUUGCGUAAUGAUUAAUAGGGACAGUUGGGGGCAUUUGUAUUUAAUUGUCAGAGGUGAAAUUCUUGGAUUUAUUAAAGACAAACUUAUGCGAAAGCAUUUGCCAAGGAUGUUUUCAUUAAUCAAGAACGAAAGUUAGAGGAUCAAAGACGAUCAGAUACCGUC
This 677-nucleotide ribosomal RNA is filed under the name uncultured ciliate. Its description in RNAcentral is "SSU rRNA". It matches the Rfam family "Eukaryotic small subunit ribosomal RNA", at positions 323 to 1030 of the family's 1831-position model. The record is from RNAcentral. Lineage: Eukaryota; Ciliophora.